UUUACCUAGAUAUUCCAGAUGAAGGAAGGCCUUAUUGGAUACAUUAAACUGUGAGGAACCAGUAAGUUGUGCCAGAAAUUUAUCCUCGUGUUUGAUGAAAAAACAAGCAAGCAAACAAACUCUGAAGGAAAUGAGAGGAAAGAAAGGAAGAAGUGAGGCAUAAACCAAGGGAAAAU
RNAcentral lists this long non-coding RNA (176 nucleotides) under Pan paniscus (pygmy chimpanzee). RNAcentral's name for it is "lncRNA (ENSPPAG00000044461.1)". Lineage: Eukaryota; Metazoa; Chordata; Mammalia; Primates; Hominidae. The record is from RNAcentral.